Molecule: ribosomal RNA, 472 nt
Filed under: Rhodotorula taiwanensis
Lineage: Eukaryota; Fungi; Basidiomycota; Microbotryomycetes; Sporidiobolales; Sporidiobolaceae
Description: eukaryotic LSU rRNA
Rfam family: Eukaryotic large subunit ribosomal RNA
Source: RNAcentral
AUAUGGUGCGGACGCCCAACGCUUUGUGAUACACUUUCGAAGAGUCGAGUUGUUUGGGAAUGCAGCUCAAAUUGGGUGGUAAAUUCCAUCUAAAGCUAAAUAUUGGCGAGAGACCGAUAGCGAACAAGUACCGUGAGGGAAAGAUGAAAAGCACUUUGGAAAGAGAGUUAACAGUACGUGAAAUUGUUGGAAGGGAAACGCUUGAAGUCAGACUUGCUUGCCGAGCAAUCGGUUUGCAGGCCAGCAUCAGUUUUCCGGGGUGGAUAAUGGUAGAGAGAAGGUAGCAUUUUCGGCUGUGUUAUAGCUCUUUGCUGGAUACACCUUGGGGGACUGAGGAACGCAGUGUGCCUUACGGCGGAUUUCUCGAGAUCUUCACACUUAGGAUGCUGGUGGAAUGGCUUUAAUCGACCCGUCUUGAAACACAGGACCACCGCUGCCGUCUUUGCGGAGGGAAGACAGACCUCCCUGUUUC